ACGUAGGAAUCUACCUGGUAGUGGGGGACAACAUGGUGAAAACCAUGCUAAUACCGCAUACGCCCCAUGGGGGAAAGCGGGGGAUCUUCGGACCUCGCGCUAUCAGAUGAGCCUGCGUAGGAUUAGCUUGUUGGUGAGGUAAAAGCUCACCAAGGCGACGAUCCUUAGCUGGUCUGAGAGGAUGAUCAGCCACACUGGAACUGAGACACGGUCCAGACUCCUACGGGAGGCAGCAGUGGGGAAUAUUGCGCAAUGGGCGAAAGCCUGACGCAGCCAUGCCGCGUGUGUGAAGAAGGCCCU
Molecule: ribosomal RNA, 300 nt
Filed under: uncultured Alteromonadales bacterium
Lineage: Bacteria; Pseudomonadati; Pseudomonadota; Gammaproteobacteria; Alteromonadales
Description: bacterial SSU rRNA
Rfam family: Bacterial small subunit ribosomal RNA
Source: RNAcentral